This 3033-nucleotide ribosomal RNA is filed under the name Triticum aestivum (bread wheat). Its description in RNAcentral is "partial small subunit ribosomal RNA". The record is from RNAcentral. Lineage: Eukaryota; Viridiplantae; Streptophyta; Magnoliopsida; Poales; Poaceae.
AUGAAAGGCGACAGCACACCUAAUUUUGUCAGGCCAUUUGUCUUAUACACCAUAGGCAAAUAUGUAUGCCCGACAACACAACAGUAUGUGGACAACAGAUACCUUGGGAUUGUUAGAAACGUUGAGACAAUAAAGAGCACCAAUUUUGGACAGCUUACGCUUGACCAUCUUAUGGCUAGCGUCAGGAAAUUUGUAAAUGGUGGAGCAAAUCUGGAGGGAAACCUACCACUACUGCAGACGUGGUACUACGAGAAGUGGAGGGUGCACCAAUUGGACUCUGCCAUCUCAUAUGCCUCAGGGGUUGGAGAGUAUGUCGAUGACCUGCUGCGGCCUUUCAAUCUGCCACCAGUUGGGAAGCCGGUCAAACCAAAGAAUGACGGCCAGGAUCCUCUGAAUUUGAGGCACAAUGAGAAUGUGCGAAAGACUGAAGAAAGAAGAAAUCAAGAUGAUGAAGAUGUCAGUAUUGAGGUGGGUUCAGAGGCAGGUACCAACAGCAACCACCGGUCUGCCAAGGCUAAGGGAAUAAGGGAGCCGGAAGAGCCCCAUGUCUUCCCAGUUGAUGAGGACAACUAUGAUGAUUUUUUAGCAAAGCAGCAACAAGAUAGUGGGGUUGAUUCCAUGCUACCAACUCGUGCGAGCAGCUGGAAAAGAGUGGCAUCUUCAUUAUUGUGCAAUGAAGAUUUUGUUCUGUACGAUAGUGGUAAGAAGAGAAAGAAAAACAGGACUCCAUCGGAGUCUACCAACGAUUCCAAGGACACAAAGAAUACAAAGAGGAAAAACCGUGCAAGCAAUUUAAAAGAUACAGACACAAGUGCUUCGACGCUGGAGACCAACCUUGACAAGUUUCGACAGAGUUAUGUGGCCGAAAUUAUCAACACCUUAGAUCUUGAUAAACAAUUGGUGGUAAUUGAUGACAUUCUUCAGCAACAGAAGCAUUUGCAAUGCCUCACCAUGACAGAUGUAGGCGAAGAUGACAAAUGGUUGGGUGACGAAAUCAUGCAUCAUGAUCAUCCUAAUGACAUAAGGGAUGGGCAGCUGGUUUACAUUGAGAGGGUGGCCGGCGUCGCUAUGCUCGAAAGAGAUGGUAAGGUAGAGAACUGCCACGAGGCCGCUUUGGCGGGCAGUCAUGGAACAACAAAAGGAGACAACUACCUCAGACAUGAUCUGGUUUUUCUGCCUACGAACAUGGCGAACACCCACUGGUUCCUUGUGGUCGUAAACCCCGGAAGGAGGGAGAUUCAGAUUCUUGAUUCACUUUUAGGCUACCUAGAUUGCACACAAGUGGUUCACGUGGAUGCUUCUUUGUCGCCAUAUGAGGAGUUCAUAAAGGGAUUAAACACGCAGCAAAGGAUGUACAUCCAGUUGAUAGCACUGGGUGGACUUCUCAAGACACCUAGCAUCAAAUUAAGACGUGUAUUGUGCAUGGCCAUCGCUAAUUCAUAUGAUGCAGAGCAGGAUGCCUUUAUCAUCAACGGGACACCAUGAUUGCUAGCCAAGAUGAAAGGCGACAACACACCAAAUUUUGUCAGGCCAUUUGUCUUGUACACCAUAGGAAAAUAUGUAUGCCGAACAAAAGAGGAGUAUGUGGAUAACAAAUAUAUUGGGAUUGUUAGAAACGUUGAGACAAUAAAGGGCACAAAUCUUGGACAGCUAACGCUUGACUAUCUUAUGGAUAGCGUGAAGAAUUUUGUAAAUGGCGAGGCAAUUCUGGAGGGGAAUCUAGCACUGCUGCAGACAUGGUACUACGAGAAGUUCGGAGUGCACCAAUUCGACUCUAGCAUCUUGUAUGAAUCAAGGUUAAGGCCGCUGAUCCAGAACUGGAGUGAGGAGAAGGAAAAAAAGGUUGACAAUAUAAUCCAGAAUAAUUAUCUGGGAGUUGGAGAGCAUGUUGAGGACCUGAUGAGGCCUUUCAUUCCAGCACGAGAUGGUACGCUGGCCAAACCGAAGACUAGCGCUCAGAUGAAGGUACUCGUCGGACAUGUAUUGACUGAUUUGCAAGAAGUUGCCUCCCUCGUGCGGGAGGCUGGUGCACAACAAGUUGAUAGGAUGUGCACCCUUGAAAAGAAAAUGGAUGAGUGCCUUAGGCGUACCCAUACAAAUGGCAAGCUCACAGAGGACCUCAUCAAAGAAUUGAACGAUGAAGCAUUAGAAAGAGCUGAAAGAAAACUCAAACAGGAUCUCAGUGGUAUUCAUAAGGUUUUGAAAGAGGUGGAUGAUAUCCAGGGUGCUCCUAGUUUGGAUAAGCAAAUGCAUUCCAAAGCCACCACAAGCCUUGAAGAAUUCCAGAUUAUGUUCAACAUAUGGAGUAAGCAGCACUCUGUGAAGGCUAAGGGAUCGCGACAGCCCAAAGAGCCCCGUGCCUUCGCAGAUGAUGACAGCCAUGAUGAACCCUUUCGAAAGCAGCAAGACGUGGUUGAUGCUGCGAUCCAGCUCAUGCGUCGUGAUGACCCAAUUGACACAAGGGACGGACAACUGGUUUACAUUGAGAGGGUGGCCGGCAUCGCUAAGCUCGAAAGAGAUGGUAGGAUAGAGGAGUGCUACGAGGACGCUUUGGCAGGCAUUCCUGGAACAACACAAGUCACCAGCUACCUGAAACAUGAUAUGGUUUUCCUACCUACGAACAGCCAAAACGUCCACUGGUUACUUGUGGUCGUAAACCCCAGAAGGAAGGAGAUUCAGGUACGUGGGAUGGAAGCACAUCUGAGAGCAGCGAGGCGAGUCAAUGGGAUAGAAAGCAAUGCAUGGGAAGACAUUAACGUGACGCAAUGGCCAGUACGGAACAUUAAAGUGCCAAAAUCCAAUGAAACUUCAUGUUGUGCACUGUACAUGCUGAAGAACAUCGAAUUAUUUAUGGGACUAAAACUGAGCAAGCAAUAUGAUGAAGCGUACAUCGAGAAAUUCAGAAAAGAGCUACCUGCUGUGCUUGUGGAUUCACCCUACAACAAAAUGAAGUACAGGAAUAUGUUCAAGCAGUACCAUGCUAGGCUAUCGGAUGCAGCUGCGGUUGAAGACGACAAAGAUGCAAGCAGUUAG